UACGAAGGGGACUAGCGUUGUUCGGAAUUACUGGGCGUAAAGCGCACGUAGGCGGAUUUGUAAGUCAGGGGUGAAAUCCCGGGGCUCAACCUCGGAACUGCCUUUGAUACUGCAAAUCUCGAGUCCGAUAGAGGUGGGUGGAAUUCCUAGUGUAGAGGUGAAAUUCGUAGAUAUUAGGAAGAACACCAGUGGCGAAGGCGGCUCACUGGCUCGGUACUGACGCUGAGGCGCGAAAGCGUGGGGAGCAAACAGG
This 253-nucleotide ribosomal RNA is filed under the name uncultured bacterium. RNAcentral describes it as "partial 16S ribosomal RNA". It matches the Rfam family "Bacterial small subunit ribosomal RNA", at positions 524 to 776 of the family's 1533-position model. The record is from RNAcentral.